This 702-nucleotide long non-coding RNA is filed under the name Heterocephalus glaber (naked mole-rat). RNAcentral describes it as "lncRNA (ENSHGLG00100026296.2)". Lineage: Eukaryota; Metazoa; Chordata; Mammalia; Rodentia; Bathyergidae. The record is from RNAcentral.
CGGUGCGUCAAGUUGGGGCUGGGCAGUGUCAGUCGGGCAGGGCUGGGAAGGGCGCGGGCACGGGCAUGGGCCAUGGGCACGGGCUGGGAUUGGGCCAAGGGGGCCGGGACUUGGGGCCAGGCAUGACCCCUGCCUUCCUGGGCCAAGAUACUCAGGUGCAUGGGUCAAGCCAGCAAAUCAAGUGGGUCUGGAGGAGAAGGCCAUAGGCCAAGGUCACAGCAUGGAGGCAGAGGUGCAACUCGCCGAACAGCACCUGGCAUAUUCCAGCUCCCAUUAGAGGCCUCUUGUCAUGACUUUCCCCAUACAGUGGAGCAAUGAAACACUCACCUUCAUCCUGGCAUGCGACAGCCGUUUAGGAUGGCCCAUCUCACUUGCUCCUUUGCCAUGGUGCCCCAGGCCUUCCACAAGUCAGAAAUGUUCCUGGCUCUCCCACAGGAUCUGGCACCACAUGGAACUGGCUCUUCCCCAAAGUCGAAAUGACGGUGGGAGAGAAUGAUUCAGGACAUGCAGGCAGCCGUGAAGGUGCCACUAAAGACCCACACGAAAGAGGACUUCCUGAGCUGCUGCAGAACCUGGCAAGAAUGAUAGUAUGAGAGUGUGUGAAUUGAGGAGUAUUUUUAGGAGGAUUAAUGGCAAUGUGUCUUUUACCCUAAUAAAUUUUUUUUGUCCCUAACACAUUUUUUUUAAAAUUUAAAUAGUCAC